UGCUGGACGAUCAAGCUUCGAAGUUCAAGCUGAAACACGGAACCACUCGAUAUUUGCUGAGAGACCUCCGUGUACCUGAAACAAUAUGACUACAAGCUCCAAGGAAGUGAACGCCGUCCUGCACUCUUCUUCUAUGCACUAUCCUUCGGAACAUUUAGCACCAAUUCAUUUAUUCAGCAUAAGUAAAGAGUUGAAUCACGUGCUGCUCUUGCCGGUUUCUUACCCUCUACAGCCUGGAAGUCUUCAAUUUGAAUCGAAUAGUGAGGACGAGUUAAUCGAGCCGUUGCCUGGCGACAAAAAAUAAGAAAAUGGAAAAUGAUUCAAUAAAUGGUUUUAUUCU
This is a long non-coding RNA of Caenorhabditis elegans, 340 nucleotides long. Ensembl annotates it as ncRNA. Its record names the gene linc-64. The record is from Ensembl. NCBI's taxonomy places the organism in Eukaryota, Metazoa, Nematoda, Chromadorea, Rhabditida, Rhabditidae.